AAAUUGGGUAUACAUCAAAUUCAAGUGAACUCCCGAAUGAGAAUGCUUUUUCUUUUUUAUUUUUCUCUUGCUGCUCGACCAGCAGUCACCAUUGUCGCCUCCUCCGGCAAAACCCAAACCACCAACAAAAACCCUUUCUCCCCUCCCCCUCUCCUCUUAUCUCUCUCGUUCCAAGUCAACCACCAUGAAAAUCUACCUCUGUUCUCACAUCGAGGUUGACUACAACAACAACACCAAAUCUUGCGGCUGCACUACUCCGACCAGUGAGCUCCGGCGAAGCAAGCAAAACCUCAAUGAAGCAGCGUAUGCACGUGUGAAAACUAGACUAAGGAACUCAAAGGAAGCAUCUACAGAUCUUUUGCAGACUGAGAUUUAGAGAGAAAAGAAUGAAUUCAUUAGAAAGAGAAUUUUCAUCUGUCAGAUCUUUACAAUCAAUCAUCAAUUUAUAGUAUUUCUCAUCUCUUUAAUACUACUGAAAAUAUCUUCCUGAUCCACUACUAACAAUAACUCUGCAC
This 515-nucleotide long non-coding RNA is filed under the name Solanum tuberosum (potato). RNAcentral describes it as "long non-coding RNA (STUB_LNC009730)". Lineage: Eukaryota; Viridiplantae; Streptophyta; Magnoliopsida; Solanales; Solanaceae. The record is from RNAcentral.